RNAcentral lists this ribosomal RNA (254 nucleotides) under uncultured bacterium. RNAcentral's name for it is "partial 16S ribosomal RNA". It matches the Rfam family "Bacterial small subunit ribosomal RNA", at positions 524 to 776 of the family's 1533-position model. The record is from RNAcentral.
UACGUAGGGUGCGAGCGUUGUCCGGAAUUAUUGGGCGUAAAGAGCUCGUAGGCGGUGUGUCGCGUCGGUCGUGAAAGCUUGGGGCUUAACCCUGAGCUUGCGGUCGAUACGGGCAUCACUGGAGUUCGGCAGGGGAGACUGGAAUUCCUGGUGUAGCGGUGAAAUGCGCAGAUAUCAGGAGGAACACCGGUGGCGAAGGCGGAUCUCUGGGCCUGUUCUGACGCUGAGGCGCGAAAGCUAGGGGAGCGAACAGG